GGUCGGGNAANCAGUUGGAACGACUGCUAAUACCGGAUGUGCCGAGAGGUAAAAGAUUAAUUGCCUGGAGAUGAGCUCGCGUCUGAUUAGCUAGUUGGUGUGGUAAGAGCGCACCAAGGCGACGAUCAGUAGCUGGUCUGAGAGGAUGAUCAGCCACACUGGGACUGAGACACGGCCCAGACUCCUACGGGAGGCAGCAGUGGGGAAUUUUCCGCAAUGGGCGAAAGCCUGACGGAGCAAUACCGCGUGAGGGAGGAAGGCUCUUGGGUUGUAAACCUCUUUUCUCAAGGAAUAAGUUCUGAAGGUACUUGAGGAAUAAGCAUCGGCUAACUCCGUGCCAGCAGCCGCGGUAAUACGGAGGAUGCAAGCGUUAUCCGGAAUGAUUGGGCGUAAAGGGUCCGCAGGUGGCAAUGUAAGUCUGCUGUCAAAGAAUGAGGCUCAACCUCAUCAAGGCAGUGGAAACUACGUAGCUAGAGUACGGUCGGGGUAGAAGGAAUUCCUGGUGUAGCGGUGAAAUGCGUAGAGAUCAGGAAGAACACCGGUGGCGAAAGCGUUCUGCUAGGCCUGUACUGACACUGAGGGACGAAAGCUAGGGGAGCGAAAGGGAUUAGAUACCCCUGGUAGUCAA
Molecule: ribosomal RNA, 628 nt
Filed under: Nostoc calcicola AUS-JR/MT/NT-114
Lineage: Bacteria; Bacillati; Cyanobacteriota; Cyanophyceae; Nostocales; Nostocaceae
Description: bacterial SSU rRNA
Rfam family: Bacterial small subunit ribosomal RNA
Source: RNAcentral